ACCUGCACUAACAGCCUGAGAGAAAAGGACACUGCAUAUCACAGAGAGAUGCAUAGAUGUUACACUCAGAAAGAGAGUGAACAACUAGAAGAUGUGGAAGGCAAGCUUUUUAGUAUUAAGAGGAAAAUUCCAAGGGCCAAUUUUGAAACAAACCAGGCAGAGACCCAGAUGCAGAAUCCUGCAGGCUGAGGGAUGUUAGGAAGAGUUAGCCCACCACUGCUGCGCUGAAACCAGGAUGACGCAAACUGGGCCUCAGGCCAGUAGAUCAAUAAACCAAACUCCCUGUCACCUCAGACUCUGCACCUGUUAAAGCCCUGUAAAGAGCCGACAUGUAAGGACUUAUACUGACUGGAUACAGAGAAUAUGGAGCAAAUCAAACGUAUUUAAAUAGUAAAUUAUCAUAUUGUUAUAAAUAAAAAU
This 420-nucleotide long non-coding RNA is filed under the name Homo sapiens (human). Its description in RNAcentral is "HSALNT0293185". The record is from RNAcentral. Lineage: Eukaryota; Metazoa; Chordata; Mammalia; Primates; Hominidae.